This 248-nucleotide ribosomal RNA is filed under the name uncultured bacterium. Its description in RNAcentral is "partial 16S ribosomal RNA". It matches the Rfam family "Bacterial small subunit ribosomal RNA", at positions 524 to 771 of the family's 1533-position model. The record is from RNAcentral.
UACAGGGGGGGCAAGCGUUGUUCGGAAUUACUGGGCGUAAAGGGUUCGUAGGUGGCCAACUAAGUCAGACGUGAAAUCCCUCAGCUUAACUGGGGAACUGCGUCUGAUACUGGAUGGCUUGAGUGCAGGAGAGGGAUGCGGAAUUCCAGGUGUAGCGGUGAAAUGCGUAGAUAUCUGGAGGAACACCGGUGGCGAAGGCGGCAUCCUGGACCAACACUGACGCUGAGGAGCGAAAGCCAGGGGAGCAA